AUACAGGUGGUGCAUGGUUGUCGUCAGCUCGUGUCGUGAGAUGUUGGGUUAAGUCCCGCAACGAGCGCAACCCUUGUCUUUAGUUACCAUCAUUCAGUUGGGGACUCUAGAGAGACUGCCGGUGAUAAACCGGAGGAAGGUGGGGAUGACGUCAAAUCAUCAUGCCCCUUAUGGCCUGGGCUACAAACGUAAUACAAUGGCGUAUACAAAGGGAUGCGAAAGGGCGACCUGGAGCAAAACUCACAAAGUACGUCUCAGUUCAGAUUGGAGUCUGCAACUCGACUCCAUGAAGGCGGAAUCGCUAGUAAUCGCGGAUCAGCAUGCCGCGGUGAAUACGUUCUCGGGUUU
This 348-nucleotide ribosomal RNA is filed under the name uncultured Erysipelothrix sp. RNAcentral describes it as "bacterial SSU rRNA". It matches the Rfam family "Bacterial small subunit ribosomal RNA", at positions 1032 to 1381 of the family's 1533-position model. The record is from RNAcentral. Lineage: Bacteria; Bacillati; Bacillota; Erysipelotrichia; Erysipelotrichales; Erysipelotrichaceae.